AGAUUAAGUUAUUAAGGGCGCACGGUGGAUGCCUUGGCACUAGAAGCCGACGAAGGACGUUACUAACGACGAUAUGCUUUGGGUAGCUGUAAGUAAGCGUUGAUCCAGAGAUUUC
This 115-nucleotide ribosomal RNA is filed under the name Staphylococcus haemolyticus. Its description in RNAcentral is "partial 23S ribosomal RNA". It matches the Rfam family "Bacterial large subunit ribosomal RNA", at positions 1 to 114 of the family's 2925-position model. The record is from RNAcentral. Lineage: Bacteria; Bacillati; Bacillota; Bacilli; Caryophanales; Staphylococcaceae. RNAcentral also lists the same sequence under 1 other name.